UUCAAUGAGAGUUUGAUCAUAGCUCAGGAUGAACGUUGGCGGCGUGCCUAAGGUAUGCAAGUCGAACGGACCGCUAACUUAUAGUCGCUUGCGACUAUGAGUUAGCAGUGUCAGUGGCAAACGGGUGAGUAACGCGUGGGUAAUCUGCCCUGGAGUCGGGAACAGCUCGCCGAAAGGCGGGGUAAUAUCCGAUGGACCCAUUUCACUUCGGUGUUAAUGGGUAAAGCUCCGGCGCUUCAGGAGGAGCCCGCGUCCUAUCAGCUUGUUGGUGAGGUAAAGGCUCACCAAGGCUAAGACGGGUAGCUGGCGUGAGAGCGUGGCCA
RNAcentral lists this ribosomal RNA (323 nucleotides) under Candidatus Dojkabacteria bacterium. Its description in RNAcentral is "bacterial SSU rRNA". It matches the Rfam family "Bacterial small subunit ribosomal RNA", at positions 1 to 306 of the family's 1533-position model. The record is from RNAcentral.